RNAcentral lists this ribosomal RNA (756 nucleotides) under uncultured bacterium. RNAcentral describes it as "bacterial SSU rRNA". It matches the Rfam family "Bacterial small subunit ribosomal RNA", at positions 8 to 760 of the family's 1533-position model. The record is from RNAcentral.
AGAGUUUGAUCAUGGCUCAGGAUGAACGCUAGCGGCAGGCCUAAUACAUGCAAGUCGAACGGAUCUGGAGACUUCGGUUUCCAGAUUAGUGGCGCACGGGUGCGUAACGCGUAUGCAACCUACCUUUUAUUGGGGGAUAGCCCGUCGAAAGACGGAUUAAUACCGCAUAACACUAUUUGAGGGCAUCUGAGGAUAGUUAAAGCUGAGGCGAUAAAAGAUGGGCAUGCGUGACAUUAGCUAGUUGGUUGAGGUAACGGCUCACCAAGGCGACGAUGUCUAGGGGUUCUGAGAGGAUGAUCCCCCACACUGGUACUGAGAUACGGACCAGACUCCUACGGGAGGCAGCAGUAGGGAAUAUUGGGCAAUGGACGCAAGUCUGACCCAGCCAUGGCCGCGUGCAGGAUGAAGGCCUUCUGGGUUGUAAACUGCUUUUAUCUGGGAAGAAAACACCUUUGCGAAGGGAACUGACGGUACCAGAUGAAUAAGCACCGGCUAACUCCGUGCCAGCAGCCGCGGUAAUACGGAGGGUGCAAGCGUUGUCCGGAUUUAUUGGGUUUAAAGGGUGCGUAGGCGGCCUUAUAAGUCAGUGGUGAAAGCCCAUCGCUCAACGAUGGAACUGCCAUUGAUACUGUAAGGCUUGAGUACAGACGAGGUAGGCGGAAUUGAUGGUGUAGCGGUGAAAUGCAUAGAUACCAUCAAGAACACCGAUUGCGUAGGCAGCUUACUAGGCUGUAACUGACGCUGAGGCACGAAAGC